RNAcentral lists this ribosomal RNA (465 nucleotides) under Vreelandella stevensii. RNAcentral describes it as "partial 16S ribosomal RNA". It matches the Rfam family "Bacterial small subunit ribosomal RNA", at positions 338 to 795 of the family's 1533-position model. Lineage: Bacteria; Pseudomonadati; Pseudomonadota; Gammaproteobacteria; Oceanospirillales; Halomonadaceae. The record is from RNAcentral.
CCUACGGCGUGCAGCAGUGGGGAAUAUUGGACAAUGGGCGAAAGCCUGAUCCAGCCAUGCCGCGUGUGUGAAGAAGGCCUUCGGGUUGUAAAGCACUUUCAGUGGGGAAGAAAGCCUUGGGGCUAAUACCCUCGAGGAAGGACAUCACCCACAGAAGAAGCACCGGCUAACUCCGUGCCAGCAGCCGCGGUAAUACGGAGGGUGCGAGCGUUAAUCGGAAUUACUGGGCGUAAAGCGCGCGUAGGCGGUCUGAUAAGCCGGUUGUGAAAGCCCCGGGCUCAACCUGGGAACGGCAUCCGGAACUGUCAGGCUAGAGUGCAGGAGAGGAAGGUAGAAUUCCCGGUGUAGCGGUGAAAUGCGUAGAGAUCGGGAGGAAUACCAGUGGCGAAGGCGGCCUUCUGGACUGACACUGACGCUGAGGUGCGAAAGCGUGGGUAGCAAACAGGAUUAGAUACCCUUGUAGUC